Molecule: long non-coding RNA, 1650 nt
Organism: Hibiscus syriacus
Lineage: Eukaryota; Viridiplantae; Streptophyta; Magnoliopsida; Malvales; Malvaceae
Exons: 4
Source: RefSeq, a predicted model, not a curated record
UGUGGAUGUGGGAGUUUGCUCUACCACAUACAAAAUAUUAACACAAUUUUCCUCUUCAGAGCUGAGAUAUGGAAGCAGAUAUAGAUAGGAAGAGCGAUAAGGUAGGAAGAGCGAUCAGGAAGGAAGUUCGAUAAGGAAGGAAGUUCGAUAAGGAAGGAAGAGCGAUAUGGAAAGAGAUUGGAGCGGGGACCAUAACACCACUACUAACAGAGAAGCGGGAAAGGUAAUUUCAGAGAUUGGAGCGAAAAGGGAAGUUUUGAGCCAAAGAUGUUGUACUUGAGCGAACAUGAAAUGGCUAUUUUCUUAUUGGAGCAAGUGGUGGACUGAAUCAACAAAGAACAGGAGUAAGUCAAAACAUACAUUAUGUUAUAUUUUUGGGGAAAUAUUCUAAUGGAAGAUAUUGUAAUUUCACGAAUGCAAAAUGUUACUUGUCUCUGAGUUACUGCAUUUUCUAUACGAAUCAAUAAGCUUUGCUUUAGUUGAAUUGUACUAAUUGAGUUUCGAUGAUUCGGGCAUCCUAACAAACUUAUUUUUUCCACCGACCAUGGUGUGUGCUAUUUCUUUAGAAAUAAUAAUUUGCUUCUGGCACACUGAUAUCAUAUGUUGUAGUUGUUUGUCGGAUCCUGAAUGUAACCCUAGUGAUACUUGACUUGGAUCAUAAUUCAUAUUGGAAGGAUGAUAGUGACUUUGUUGACAUUUUUGACGUCAAAUGGUUCAUUUCUUACCUUGCAAAAGAUGUUACUAUUGUCAAAAGGGUUCCAGAUAAAUUCAUGCGAUUAUUGGAAAAACCUCCAUACACUAUGCGUGUCCCGAGGAAAUCCCCUCCUGAAUAUUAUCUAGGUCAAGUUCUGCCAAUACUUCAAAGAAGAUUCGUAGGAUCAUUUUCAGAUACUAUAUCAAUGAUGCUAUUUAGGUUGAUUGUAUAAAUAAUUUCUAGGACUUUCUGUUUCUAGUUCGAUCCCUCAAUUUUCUAUAAAAAUCCAUAAUUUGUGUACAUUUCAUGAAACAUAAAUCCCUAAAAACCCAACACCACCUCUGGACCUGUCCCAAGCGCAGUGCCAGACCAAAGGGAGAACCGGGUACCUAAGGCCAAGCACCCACACCAACAACCCAGCAUAGGUCAGCCGUAACACUCCUACGUUAAUGCCUUCUAUAUUAAAUACCAUUCCCUCUAUGCUUUCCCACAAGAUGUGGGAUUUUGGUUCUUCACUGUUUUGUUUUAAAAGUUCUCAAACUUCUAAUUGAUUCUGCAAAGGCUGUACGCAUGAACCGCCGGUGAUGGAUUGCUAAAUCUCCCAGGCGGCCUUUCUUUGGGAACCUCUGUUGCCUGACCUUGCAGCCCUGGUGACUGCUUACCAGAGAUUGGUUCUCUCCCGGGUUGAUGAAGUUCCUUUCAGCUGCGGCCUAAAUAAGACGGUCCGAAGAGAGGGGCGUUGAAUGGCUUCCAUGAUUGGAUGAGAAUACAAGAGCACAAGAAGGCGGAAAUGGAUCCUGCAAAUCGCUGGAAGACGAUUCUACUCAGACUCUUCCAAUCGACUUCUUCAAGAAUCUCUAUUCUUUCUCUGACCUCUUUCCACCCAUUCAUCUUUCAUGUAUGCAUCUAUGAUUUCUGCAUUUUCAAUUGUUCAAUUUUAGCGGAUUUAUUAAGUU